AGUUAUAUAUUCAAGAAUGAUUCUAAAUUGCAAGUUUAGAGGGAGUGGUCACACUUGUAACUU
This 63-nucleotide transfer RNA is filed under the name Cryphalus piceae. Its description in RNAcentral is "tRNA-Cys". Lineage: Eukaryota; Metazoa; Arthropoda; Insecta; Coleoptera; Curculionidae. The record is from RNAcentral.